GUGUCUGCAGCCGCGGUAAUACGGAGGAUGCAAGCGUUAUCCGGAAUGAUUGGGCGUAAAGCGUCCGCAGGUGGCUGUGUAAGUCUGCUGUUAAAGCGUCUGGCUUAACCAGAUACAAGCAGUGGAAACUACACAGCUAGAGUGCGUUCGGGGCAGAGGGAAUUCCUGGUGUAGCGGUGAAAUGCGUAGAUAUCAGGAAGAACACCGGUGGCGAAAGCGCUCUGCUAGGCCGCAACUGACACUGAGGGACGAAAGCUAGGGGAGCGAAAGGGAUUAGAUACCCCUGUAGUCCUAGCUGUAAACGAUGGAGACUAGGUGUGGCCUGUAUCGACCCGGGCCGUGCCGGAGCUAACGCGUUAAGUCUCCCGCCUGGGGAGUACGCACGCAAGUGUGAAACUCAAAUGAAUUGACGGGG
This 415-nucleotide ribosomal RNA is filed under the name uncultured prokaryote. RNAcentral describes it as "bacterial SSU rRNA". It matches the Rfam family "Bacterial small subunit ribosomal RNA", at positions 505 to 918 of the family's 1533-position model. The record is from RNAcentral.